Molecule: non-coding RNA, 23 nt
Filed under: Arabidopsis thaliana (thale cress)
Lineage: Eukaryota; Viridiplantae; Streptophyta; Magnoliopsida; Brassicales; Brassicaceae
Also listed under: 4 other names
Source: RNAcentral
CCCUGCCCUUUGUACACACCGCC